CCUACGGGGGGCAGCAGUGGGGAAUAUUGCACAAUGGGGGAAACCCUGAUGCAGCGACGCCGCGUGAAGGAAGAAGGUUUUCGGAUCGUAAACUUCUAUCAGCAGGGAAGAGGAAAGUGACAGUACCUGACUAAGAAGCCCCGGCUAACUACGUGCCAGCAGCCGCGGUAAUACGUAGGGGGCUAGCGUUAUCCGGAAUUACUGGGCGUAAAGGGUGCGUAGGCGGCCUUGUAAGUCAGGUGUGAAAGGCUACGGCUCAACCGUAGUUAGCACUUGAAACUGCAGGGCUUGAGUGCAGGAGAGGAGAGUGGAAUUCCUAGUGUAGCGGUGAAAUGCGUAGACAUUAGGAGGAACGCCAGUGGCGAAGGCGACUCUCUGGACUGUAACUGACGCUGAGGCACGAAAGCGUGGGGAGCGAACAGGAUUAGAUACCCCGGUAGUC
RNAcentral lists this ribosomal RNA (442 nucleotides) under uncultured bacterium. Its description in RNAcentral is "bacterial SSU rRNA". It matches the Rfam family "Bacterial small subunit ribosomal RNA", at positions 338 to 795 of the family's 1533-position model. The record is from RNAcentral.